This 460-nucleotide ribosomal RNA is filed under the name uncultured bacterium. RNAcentral describes it as "partial 16S ribosomal RNA". It matches the Rfam family "Bacterial small subunit ribosomal RNA", at positions 338 to 795 of the family's 1533-position model. The record is from RNAcentral.
CCUACGGGAGGCAGCAGUGAGGAAUAUUGGUCAAUGGACGAGAGUCUGAACCAGCCAAGUAGCGUGAAGGAUGACUGCCCUAUGGGUUGUAAACUUCUUUUAUAAAGGAAUAAAACGAGGCACGUGUGCCUUUUUGCAUGUACUUUAUGAAUAAGGAUCGGCUCACUCCGUGCCCGCAGCCGCGGUAAUACGGAGGAUCCGAGCGUUAUCCGGUUUUAUUGGGUUUAAAGGGAGCGUAGAUGGGUUGUUAAGUCAGUUGUGAAAGUUUGCGGCUCAACCGUAAAAUUGCAAUUGAUACUGGCAGUCUUGAGUACAGUUGAGGUAGGCGGAAUUCGUGGUGUAGCGGUGAAAUGCGUAGAUAUCACGAAGAACCCCGAUUGCGAAGGCAGCUUACUAAACUGUGACUGACAUUGAUGCUCGAAAGUGUGGGUAUCAAACAGGAUUAGAUACCCUUGUAGUC